GUUGAACGCUGGCGGCAGGCCUAACACAUGCAAGUCGAGCGAGCGGCGGACGGGUGAUUAAUGUCUGGGAAACUGCCUGAUGGAGGUGGAUAACUGCUGCAAACGGUAGCUAAGACCGCAUACCAUCGGAUGUGCCCAGAUGGGAUUAGCUAGUAGGUGGGGGAAUGGCUCACCAAGGCGACGAUCACUAGCUGGUCUGAGAGGAUGACCAGCCACACUGGAACUGAGACACGGUCCAGACUCCUACGGGAGGCAGCAGUGGGGAAUAUUGCACAAUGGGCGCAAGCCUGAUGCAGCCAUGCCGCGUGUAUGAAGAAGGCCUUCGGGUUGUAAAGUACUUUCAGCGAGGAGGCGUUACUCGCAGAAGAAGCACCGGCUAACUCCGUGCCAGCAGCCGCGGUAAUUC
This 406-nucleotide ribosomal RNA is filed under the name uncultured bacterium. RNAcentral describes it as "partial 16S ribosomal RNA". It matches the Rfam family "Bacterial small subunit ribosomal RNA", at positions 28 to 526 of the family's 1533-position model. The record is from RNAcentral.